This 75-nucleotide transfer RNA is filed under the name Megachile sculpturalis. RNAcentral describes it as "tRNA-Pro". The record is from RNAcentral. Lineage: Eukaryota; Metazoa; Arthropoda; Insecta; Hymenoptera; Megachilidae.
CAAAAUAUAGUUUAAUAAAAACAUUAAUUCUGGGAAUUAAAGAUAUUAAAUAUAUAUAUGGAUGAAUUAUUUUGA